AACUAGCCCUGAUAGAAGCGGCAUCCUUUUUUAUAAUUUUUUUAAAGCGCGAUGCAAAUAAAAAAUUAAAAAAAAGAUAUAGCGGAUAGCAGGUUCCAGG
RNAcentral lists this small RNA (100 nucleotides) under Halpernia frigidisoli. RNAcentral describes it as "Flavo-1 RNA". It matches the Rfam family "Flavo-1 RNA". The record is from Rfam by way of RNAcentral. Lineage: Bacteria; Pseudomonadati; Bacteroidota; Flavobacteriia; Flavobacteriales; Weeksellaceae.